CUUCAUCUCAGCUACAUUUAUCCUGUUAGCUGCUCACACCAUGAUUUUUUGACCUAUCCAUUUGUUCAUCGGUGUACGAUCUGCACAGUUUGGAAUAAACUUCUUCACGAUCUACAAGGUGUUGUUUGGAUCGAGUCACUAUCACACUUUCAAUGCUUAGAUUGGAGAGGCAGAACAGAGCCAAUCAGGGCAAGCUCCCCCUGCACUUCCUUUUAAGUAUUCUGAGUCUCUGCCGGAUAAGUAUACCGGAAUUGCAAACGCUAAUGUGAACCUAGCCUAACACAGUGAACCAACACCAGCAAAUGGCAUGGCUCCCCAAACUAUGACUGUGGAAACUUCAAACUGGACCUCAAGCAACUGGCAUUGUGUGCCUCUCCACUCUUCCUCCAGAGUCUGGGACCUUUAUUUCCAAAUGAAAUGCAAAAUUUACUUUCAUCUGAAAACUGAUUUUUGGACCACUAAGCAACAGUCCAGCCCUUUUUAUCCU
Molecule: long non-coding RNA, 487 nt
Organism: Bufo bufo (common toad)
Lineage: Eukaryota; Metazoa; Chordata; Amphibia; Anura; Bufonidae
Exons: 3
Source: RefSeq, a predicted model, not a curated record